GGUGAAGCAGAGCUUGCUCUGUGGAUCAGUGGCGAACGGGUGAGUAACACGUGAGCAAUCUGCCCCUGACUCUGGGAUAAGCGCUGGAAACGGCGUCUAAUACCGGAUACGAGCUGCGACCGCAUGGUCAGUAGCUGGAAAGAAUUUCGGUCAGGGAUGAGCUCGCGGCCUAUCAGCUUGUUGGUGAGGUAAUGGCUCACCAAGGCGUCGACGGGUAGCCGGCCUGAGAGGGUGACCGGCCACACUGGGACUGAGACACGGCCCAGACUCCUACGGGAGGCAGCAGUGGGGAAUAUUGCACAAUGGGCGCAAGCCUGAUGCAGCAACGCCGCGUGAGGGAUGACGGCCUUCGGGUUGUAAACCUCUUUUAGCAGGGAAGAAGCGAAAGUGACGGUACCUGCAGAAAAAGCGCCGGCUAACUACGUGCCAGCAGCCGCGGUAAUACGUAGGGCGCAAGCGUUAUCCGGAAUUAUUGGGCGUAAAGAGCUCGUAGGCGGUCUGUCGCGUCUGCUGUGAAAACCCGAGGCUC
RNAcentral lists this ribosomal RNA (529 nucleotides) under Microbacterium arborescens. RNAcentral describes it as "bacterial SSU rRNA". It matches the Rfam family "Bacterial small subunit ribosomal RNA", at positions 68 to 610 of the family's 1533-position model. The record is from RNAcentral. Lineage: Bacteria; Bacillati; Actinomycetota; Actinomycetes; Micrococcales; Microbacteriaceae.